GAUGAACGCUGGCGGCGUGCCUAAUACAUGCAAGUCGAGCGAACAGACGAGGAGCUUGCUCCUCUGACGUUAGCGGCGGACGGGUGAGUAACACGUGGAUAACCUACCUAUAAGACUGGGAUAACUUCGGGAAACCGGAGCUAAUACCGGAUAAUAUAUUGAACCGCAUGGUUCAAUAGUGAAAGACGGUUUUGCUGUCACUUAUAGAUGGAUCCGCGCCGCAUUAGCUAGUUGGUAAGGUAACGGCUUAUCAAGGCAACGAUGCGUAGCCGACCUGAGAGGGUGAUCGGCCACACUGGAACUGAGACACGGUCCAGACUCCUACGGGAGGCAGCAGUAGGGAAUCUUCCGCAAUGGGCGAAAGCCUGACGGAGCAACGCCGCGUGAGUGAUGAAGGUCUUCGGAUCGUAAAACUCUGUUAUUAGGGAAGAACAAGUGUGUAAGUAACUAUGCACGUCUUGACGGUACCUAAUCAGAAAGCCACGGCUAACUACGUG
RNAcentral lists this ribosomal RNA (497 nucleotides) under uncultured bacterium. RNAcentral's name for it is "partial 16S ribosomal RNA". It matches the Rfam family "Bacterial small subunit ribosomal RNA", at positions 28 to 507 of the family's 1533-position model. The record is from RNAcentral.